RNAcentral lists this unclassified non-coding RNA (308 nucleotides) under uncultured Cladorrhinum. RNAcentral describes it as "sequence contains ITS1". The stretch from base 1 to 105 matches the Rfam family "5.8S ribosomal RNA", at positions 50 to 154 of the family's 154-position model. Lineage: Eukaryota; Fungi; Ascomycota; Sordariomycetes; Sordariales; Lasiosphaeriaceae. The record is from RNAcentral.
GAAAUGCGAUAAGUGGUGUGAAUUGCGGAAUUCAGUGAAUCAUCGAAACUUUGAACGCACAUUGCGCCCGCGAGCACUCUGGCGGGCUUGCCUGUUCGAGCGUCAUUACAACCAUCAAACCCCCCGGGUUUGUGCUGGGGAUCUGCGGCUAACCGCAGGCCCUGAAAACCAGUGGCGGGCCCGCCGCCGUGCCCGAGCGUAGUAGAUCUAUCCUCUAGCUCCGGGUGCGUAGCGGGCUUCCCCGCCGUUAAACCCCACCAUCAAGCUAGGUUGACCUCGGAUCAGGUAGGAAUACCCGCUUAACUUAA